GGGGGUUGGGAGGGCAGGCUGAUGUGCCAGUGGGGGCCAAGACGCUGGUGGUGAGGGGUUGCUUGUCCGCCUGACAUGACUCUUAUUUGGUCGUCAUGGUAAUGCCACAGUAACGCUGCGGUAAUGCCAUAGCAACGACACCAAAUGGCAGGCGAAUGAGAGCUAGGCUGCAUCUUCCACAAAUGUCCUUGGUUCACUGUUUGAAAGGUGAUAACGUGCGACAUUACAUACAAACUCUGACCCAUUUGGGCCACGUUUACAGGUCAACCUCGCUCGGCAGUCAACAAUCUUUGACUAUUUAGAAUGAAUUACUUCCUGUGGGUCAUGUGAAAACAACAAGUGAUGUCAUAUAAAGGGGGACAGUUAAACUCUAGUGUAGAGCUUCCUUCCACUUGAAAAACAGCUCCUCUACAGGUUACGCUUCCAGUCCACUCUGUAUCUCUGUAGCUAGAACUAAAAGACACCCUGAAUGCUCCAAUAUCAAAGCCAAGGAAGAAGAAGAAGGUGUUUAGCAGAGAGGAAGCAGAGAAGCCUGUAUAAAGUCAGGGAACACCCACUGUAUUGUAUUUACAGAUGUAGGAUCUUAAUUUGAGCCAGUCUCCUACAGCAGGAAAAUAAUCAUACAGCAACAGGACAUUUUAAUUAUAAUGUGGAUUAUAAUGAAUGGAGAUUUUUGUAGCGUCUGAAAAAAUUUCGUAAGGGAAAAUCAAGUGUGAAAUUUCAAAGUGGAAAUACACUACAAGUACAAAAUACACUACAAGUUUUAAAUGUCCUGCAUUGCAGAAAUAUUUUCCUGCAACAGGGUAAUCAAAUGAAGAUCCUACAUACAGUAUGUAGAUGUCCAGGGAGCAUGUCUGCUGUCGGCCACAACAGCGCCUCCAAACCCCAGCGUUGCUACCAAAACAUGUUGUUGUGGUGUUGUGGUUGAGGUGGCUGUGAUGUGUAGUAAACAAACAGCUUCUUUUGUACAUUGUGUCGGGGUGAGGGAUGUGGGCGGGUUGGAUAUGUAGCUAUAAAUUACAAACAUGGGAGCUGUCUACACCCCAUCGACGUAUCCCAACAUUCACCCUUUUCCCUAUACAGUGCAAUACUGGUCAAAAGCAGAGCACUAUAUAGGGAAUAGGGUGCCAUUUGGGAUGCAGUUUGACUCCUCCAUCCGUCUUCGAUAUGGGCUCAGGAUUGUUCUGAGAGACAGAGAGAAGAAAGGGAUUGACGGUUCCGUCAGACGGGUCGCAAAACCAACCGAUAAAGAUUUAUUCAAUUCUCUUUUAAACGUUCUAUUUAUAUCGAGCUCUACUUUAGUAACAUCCUUCUAUAUUUAAACAUUGUACUAAUAACAUGCUGUCAGACAUGGUGGGGAAAAGUCCAUUGUAGCCAUUAACUAAUGUUACAUUUACUGUAUUACUGAGUAAGAAAAAAAAAACAUUUAUAUAUAUGAUGAAUAUAAAUAUAUCUAUUUGUGAUCUGCAACCCUUGGAAUUAAGUUCGCCCUUUGAUUUUUGAUAAUCGAUAUUAUGAUUUUAUGGGCGCCGGACUUAAUGCACUGUCGACCAUUCCUGGGAGAUUUCUAUACCUGUGUAGUGUUAUUACCUGUUUGUCUAUUUACUCCUCCUUUGGUUCCGCUAUUGAAUGUAACUUCCAAAAACUUUUUAUGUGAAUGUCGUUAUAUAUAUAUAAAAAAACAAAAUGUCAAAGUACAAUGUAUAUGCAGUACACUACACGAUGAUAAUAUAGCUGAACGUUUCAUCUGAUAAAAUGCUGGACUUCAGACGGUCACACCGAUGCCAAUACAACUGGUGAGGGUAUUUUACGUAGGAACAAGUGGGGAGGGUAUUAUGUGGAGCACACCAGUGCCCUGCAGACAGACAUCCUCCAGAUAAGAACCGUGUAAUCAUUUACUGGAUCAGUCAGAACUCUUCGCACCAAGGCUUUUCACAUCUGACGAGAACAAGAACACCAGGAGAGGAGCAUCGCAGUCUGUCCUGUGUGCCAGAUCAAAUGUGUUUUUUAAAUAUUGAUCUAUUUUGUAUUUAUUCUUCUCUCUCCUGAGGUGAAAGAGAGGGAGAGAGAGCGAGUGAGUGAGGACCAAGUGAGGGACUAGUGCUGAGAGUGGGUGGGGGGUGGUGGUGAGGGAGGGUUCUGUCACACCUUGAUCUGUGUUGGAGGGGAUUUGUGACCUAUACACAAGAGGAGGGUUGAGGAUCCAGGUUUGAAGACGGGGAAUAAGGGGACUCCUUAUCCCUCUCCUCUCUGAUUGGAGGACAGGAUGGUACUGUAAAACUCUGAGCUCUCUUUCCUUUCUGAGUUCACCUUAGCCUCUGCUGCACAUCAAGCUUCCCUACACCACAAUGAGCUGCUACCCCUGGACACAGGUGUGACUGUAUCUGACAGGCUGGUCUACGGACGUUUCCCUGGACACAGGUGUGACUGUAUCUGACAGGCUGGUCUACGGACGUUUCCCUGGACUCAGGUGUGACUGUAUCUGACAGGCUGGUCUACGGACGUUUCCCUGGACUCAGGUGUGACUGUAUCUGACAGGCUGGUCUACGGACGUUUCCCUGGACUCAGGUGUGACUGUAUCUGACAGGCUGGUCUACGGACGUUUCCCUGGACUCAGGUGUGACUGUAUCUGACAGGCUGGUCUACGGACGUUUCCUUGGACUCAGGUGUGACUGUAUCUGACAGGCUGGUCUACGGACGUUUCCCCGCAGUGUAAUGGAUGGAAGGUUCCGGAUAAAUAAACCCACUUUGCUGCAUUCUUGUCCUCAGAGAAGACAGAACGGGUAUCUUCACAGGUGGACAGGGGACAGCUGUUUGUUUGUUAACAUGUUAACUAACAGGUGUAUGUUAGGUAUGCAUGUAGCAUAAAUAAUGAGACCUGAACCAGUAAAGUGUGUGUGUGUCAUAGAGAAACAACUCUGUCCACUUCUAACCACUCAAUCUGUUGUUGUCAAGUUGUCAUUGCAAAGCUCAAGGGACUCUUGAUGUGAAGUCACAUCUGCACUGGCACUGAGAGAGACUGAGACCUCAUGUAUUAAAAAAGACAAGCAAACAAAUAAAUACAUUUUAAAAACGAUGAUGUCACUAACAGAGAUCUGAGAUCUUUAAGGGGUUUUACUUAUCCUGAUAAUCUGAUUCUACUGCUGUUAUUUUUUGGGUCUGUUUGAGACUUCCUUCCUGUUUAGAUGUAGACCUUGCUGUUCAACCCUGGGGAAAGAGAUGUAUGAUAAAAGCGGUUAUAAAAUGAGUCCUGUGCACACGUUGACCACUGCACUAUUGUGAAUAUGUCGGUCUAUCGGACUUACACAUUCAAAUAAACGUGCAGAAGUGGAUGUUAGUGCAGGGAUACAUUUUGUCAUUGAGCAUAGAAAAUUGUUAAUAAUUUAUAUUCCCAGCACCGCUGAAAGCGGUGGUAGUGUGUCUGUGUGCUGAUAUUUGCUCUGAAAUGGCUUAAUUCUCAUUUGAAAUAAAAAAAACGUAACUCUGCAAGACGUUGAUGUCAUUGAGGACCUUACGCAAACAUGUGAUUUAAGUGUGUAGAUCUUGAGUUAGGAUUUGGCCCAAACAAGUGUGAAGCAGCCUUCACUAUAGCUCUGUUACUGUCUGAGGCUAAUUACCGUACCGUACCCUACCCCUACCCGCUGCUCCUAAAGUUACGUAUACCUCUGUGCCCCCUAACCCAAAGCCCACAUCCAACACUCAUUCCAAUGAUGGCUUCCUGAAAAUCCACAAGCUUCCUUACAAAAACCAAAUGUCGGUUUCCUCGAACAUCCUGAUUUGUUUACAACCUAAACCCUAAUGCAAAUACCCAGACCCCGUCUCAUCUGAAUCCAGAAACCUCAGUCCAAAACCCAACCCAGUUCAGACCCAGUUUAUCCUGUAGUACCCGAACCAGCUCUCAAACCCCUAAGCCAAAACCACAGACCUACCUCCCCUAUAGUUUAUCGAUCUCCGUCCCCAUCCGUCCCCAUCCGUCACCGUCCUAGUUCACAACGCCCUCUGCAGUCCCCCAAAAGCACAAAGGUUAGAGUGGUGUAGGAGUAAGCUGACGCUGUGAAAGAGAAACCCUUCCAUUCUGUUUGUGUUGGUCUGUUUACGGCUUAUAAAUGUGGUGCUUUUGUAUUCCGAAUGUACAGAUGCUCCUUUUUCUGUCUAUGUCAGAACGUUGUAUUAGUGGAAAUUCAAAACGACGACUCUUCAUGUGCUUCAAACACAUCUAUUUCUGUUUUUAUUUUCUUCUUUUUUGGCAAUUGCUCCAAGGUCAUAUAGAUUAAAAGAUGAGUAGGUAAACAAAAUACAUAAAUAAAGAGAUAUAUUGAUCAAUUUCAAGAGAUUACAUGUUGAGCUGUUCAGAACCUGUACUCUAACUUUGGCAUUUGGUUUCUGUUCACUGUUUUGUUCUACUUUGUGUAUGCUUUCAAUGUGCUUCAGAAAUACAGUAAUAUUUAUUAUGAUCGUUAAAUUAUUAUUACAGUUAUUAUCAUGAUUACUGCAGUUAUUAAUAAAUAUUUCUUUCCUCAACGAGA
RNAcentral lists this long non-coding RNA (4526 nucleotides) under Salmo salar (Atlantic salmon). RNAcentral's name for it is "lncRNA (ENSSSAG00000087930.1)". Lineage: Eukaryota; Metazoa; Chordata; Actinopteri; Salmoniformes; Salmonidae. The record is from RNAcentral.